Molecule: ribosomal RNA, 484 nt
Filed under: uncultured bacterium
Lineage: Bacteria
Description: partial 16S ribosomal RNA
Rfam family: Bacterial small subunit ribosomal RNA
Source: RNAcentral
AUUGAACGCUGGCGGCAGGCCUAACACAUGCGAGUCGAGCGGAAGAAGGGAGCUUGCUUCUGGAUUCAGCGGCGGACGGGUGAGUAAUGCCUAGGAAUCUGCCUGGUAGUGGGGGAUAACGUCCGGAAACGGGCGCUAAUACCGCAUACGUCCUGAGGGAGAAAGUGGGGGAUCCUCGGACCUCACGCUAUCAGAUGAGCCUAGGUCGGAUUAGCUAGUUGGUGGGGUAACGGCCUACCAAGGCGACGAUCCGUAACUGGUCUGAGAGGAAGAUCAGUCACACUGGAGCUGAGACACGGUCCAGACUCCUACGGGAGGCAGCAGUGGGGAAGAUUGGACAAUGGGCGAAAGCCUGAUCCAGCCAUACCGCGUGUGUGAAGAAGGUCUUCGGAUUGUAAAGCACUUUAAGUUGGGAGGAAGGGCAGUAAGUUAAUACCUUGCUGUAUUGACGUUACCGACAGAAUAAGCACCGGCUAACUUCGUG